CUAGAAGAAAUAAGUGGAAAUUAGGAGAAACAUUAAAGACAUUCCAGUCACUGAGCAUGCUGAAACCUGAAAACAUGGUUGGCCCUUGAUCUGGAUUUCCACCAUCACAUAUCUCUUCAUUCCUGAUGUGUAUCUGGCUUACACAAAAAACACGAGAGAACAAAAGAUUUAAGAGAGAAGAUGAAGUUUCAGAAGUUGAUGUGAGAGUGACUACAGUUUGAAGUAUCUGUUAAAUACAGCAACAUGACAUCACAAGGAUUGCUUUGGAGUCUUCUGGAUAUGAGAACAUUAUAAAAGGUGAAAAAGUAGAACGGAAAUAUGAAGGGAGAAAUAGAGACAACCAUAGUUUCAAGCCUCACUUAGAGAAGAAGGAUUGUUCAUUUGUUUGAUGGUAAUUGGGUCAAUUGAGGAGUUUGACACAGAGAAUAACAGUACCAGACCUGAGUCCAGUCUUAGCUU
Long non-coding RNA from Cercocebus atys (sooty mangabey), 459 nucleotides. RefSeq lists it as uncharacterized. The transcript is spliced from 4 exons. The record is from RefSeq and is a predicted model, not a curated record. NCBI's taxonomy places the organism in Eukaryota, Metazoa, Chordata, Mammalia, Primates, Cercopithecidae.